AGGAGAGUGGAAUUCCACGUGUAGCGGUGAAAUGCGUAGAGAUGUGGAGGAACACCACGUGGCGAAGGCGACUCUCUGGUCUGUAACUGACGCUGAGGCGCGAAAGCGUGGGGAGCGAACAGGAUUAGAUACCCUGGUAGUCCACGCCGUAAACGAUGAGUGCUAAGUGUUAGAGGGUUUCCGCCCUUUAGUGCUGCAGCAAACGCAUUAAGCACUCCGCCUGGGGAGUACGGUCGCAAGACUGAAACUCAAAGGAAUUGACGGGGGCCCGCACAAGCGGUGGAGCAUGUGGUUUAAUUCGAAGCAACGCGAAGAACCUUACCAGGUCUUGACAUCCUCUGACAACCCUAGAGAUAGGGCUUCCCCUUCGGGGGCAGAGUGACAGGUGGUGCAUGGUUGUCGUCAGCUCGUGUCGUGAGAUGUUGGGUUAAGUCCCGCAACGAGCGCAACCCUUGAUCUUAGUUUGCCCAGCAUUCAGUUGGGCACUCUAAGGUGACUGCCGGUGACAAACCGGAGGAAGGUGGGGAUGACGUCAAAUCAUCAUGCCCCUUAUGACCUGGGCUACACACGGUGCUACAAUGGGGCAGAACAAAGGGCAGCGAAGCCGCGAGGCUAAGCCCAAUCCCCACAAAUCUGUUCUCAGUUCGGAUCGCAAUUCUUGCAACUCGACUGCGUGGAAGCUGGGAAUCGCUAGUAAUCGCGGAUCAGCUUGCCGCGGUGAAUACGUUCCCGGGCCUUGUACACACCGCCCGUCACACCACGGGAGUUUGUACCCCAAAGUCAGUGAGGUUGCCUUCUUGAAGCCAGCCG
This 810-nucleotide ribosomal RNA is filed under the name Bacillus licheniformis. Its description in RNAcentral is "bacterial SSU rRNA". It matches the Rfam family "Bacterial small subunit ribosomal RNA", at positions 655 to 1455 of the family's 1533-position model. The record is from RNAcentral. Lineage: Bacteria; Bacillati; Bacillota; Bacilli; Caryophanales; Bacillaceae.